Long non-coding RNA from Talpa occidentalis (Iberian mole), 868 nucleotides. RefSeq lists it as uncharacterized. The transcript is spliced from 3 exons. Lineage: Eukaryota; Metazoa; Chordata; Mammalia; Eulipotyphla; Talpidae. The record is from RefSeq and is a predicted model, not a curated record.
GCCGUUUAUUCCAUCCUCACUGCAUGGAUAUUUCACAGUUAUCCACCCUUGGAAGUCAGGUACAGAGCAAUUCACAUGGUCACAAGCCAUAAACAUUACCUCAUAAAUGGCACCAUGGAAAUGUGUCAACAAAAUUAGACCUACUCAAAAUCAGCUUUUACAAUAACAGCUGCUGGUGCUCUGGCUUGAGAACCAGGUAUGAGACCACCUACAACUCCGACUCAGAGUGUUCCAGUCGGUGUGCAAAUGGCAUGGGCUUCCACCAAGGUGCCAAAUAAUGCAGCAGUGCUGAAUAAUGUUCCAUUGCCUGGAUGCAGGAAUUUAAUUUAAAGUUAAGGAUUCUGUUGAAAUGGAAGAAACAGAAAAGCGGUUUGAACAAUAGGAGGAAAAGAUGGACUAAAUAAACAGCCAUCUUCAUCAGUGAAAGUCAAAUGAAUGAUAUCUCACUACACUUCUCAGAAGAAUGGAGUGGCGUUUUCCACAGUAGGGCAUGCCUCCCAUUCUGGGAGGUUCCUUUCACAAAGGAAUCCCUCUCUAGAGUUCUCUAAAUGUUUGGACAAUAUUUGACAGUGAAGACAGUGAAGACAGCCACAGCCCACUGGAUUCUCUGUAGUGCCAGAAAAGAUUUUACAGUGGAGAGAGAACUUUCCAUUGACAGUAAAUUUCCAGAACUUAGGCUCCAUCACAUGAGGAAUUUUCAUGUCUCUAAUGUAACAUCCCAUUAGAAAGUGCUGGGUGCUAUUUUGCCACACAAAAAUAGUUUGUUCCUGAUACAUGUUAGCUUUUUUGCCUUUUUGUUGGUAAAUUUAGAAGGAAACUUUUAUCUCAUUUAGAUUUAAUAGCAAGAGGAAGUUUCACAUAAAAGACA